Molecule: ribosomal RNA, 526 nt
Filed under: uncultured euryarchaeote
Lineage: Archaea; Methanobacteriati; Methanobacteriota
Description: bacterial SSU rRNA
Rfam family: Archaeal small subunit ribosomal RNA
Source: RNAcentral
GCGCGAAACCUUUACAAUGCACGAAAGUGUGAUAAGGGAACCCAAAGUGCUUAGCUUUGCUAGGCUUUUGCCAAGUGUAAAUAACUUGGAGAAUAAGUGGUGGGAAAGACUGGUGCCAGCCGCCGCGGUAACACCAGCGCCACAAGUGGGGAUCCUUUUUAUUUGGCCUAAAGCGUCCGUAGCUGGUUUAGUAAAUCUCUUGUGAAAUUGUUCUGCUCAACAGAACAGCGUGCAGGAGAGACUGCUAGACUAGGGACCGGGAGGAGUCAGAGGUAUGCAAGGGGGAGCGGUAAAAUGCUAUAAUCCUUUGUAGACCACCUGUGGCGAAGGCGUCUGACUAGAACGGGUCCGACAGUGAGGGACGAAAGCCAGGGGAGCAAACCGGAUUAGAUACCCGAGUAGUCCUGGCUGUAAACGUUGCGAGCUAGGUGUCGCAUAAUCUUCGCGAUUAUGCGGUGUCGAAGCGAAGGUGUUAAGCUCGCCGCCUGGGAAGUAUGGUCGCAAGACUGAAACUUAAAGGAAUUGG